Molecule: non-coding RNA, 1746 nt
Organism: Oryzias latipes (Japanese medaka)
Lineage: Eukaryota; Metazoa; Chordata; Actinopteri; Beloniformes; Adrianichthyidae
Source: RefSeq, a predicted model, not a curated record
CAUGCGGCUCUUUAGCGCUGCCCUAGUGGCUCCCUGGAGCAUUUUCAAAAAUGUUGGAGUCUGUUGCGAGUCUGUUUGGAACACGUCAAAACAUUCCUGAAAAGCAAAGACCUGCUGAACUACCCGCAAUUCAGAAUAAAUAUUCAAAGGUUAAAAUAAUUCAGAAUCUGAUGGAACAGAAAAACGUCCAUAAUAUGCUUUAUUGUCUUUGUCCAUUGUAAAAUAAAAUUGAAGCUAACAAACCGCUCAGCUUUUAGCUACUUCAACGUUAACCAUUUUACGUUUGUCUCCUGAAUUACCAGAUGCAAAAGUCACCGGGGCAGGGGGCGGCGGCGGUGAGGCCGGCAGCGGAUGGGCCGGCAGCGGAGAGGCCGGCGGCGGAGGAGCCCGCGGGCCAGGGCCCGUGGGGCAGAGCCCAGCGGCUCAAAGGCCAGCGGCGCAGAGACCGCCACUGCAGUGGCAAAGUGCCACGAAUCGAGCCAGGGAGGACCAGAGGCAGGCUGCGGCAAAUAGGGUUCUCCUGGUGAGGCUUCUGGUGCUCGUCAGAUCGCCUAAUCUGGAUUCAUGGCCCCCUGUGACCGGAUUUGGGGGGGUGGUUAAAGAAAAAUGUUCUAAGUCAUUUUUGUUUGAUAUGACUUAGAACAAUAAAAUGUUAUCUUUUAAUUAGUUUAUAUAAUAUAGUACAAUGAAUAGAGAAGAGAACAAAGAGUGUUGCUGAUGUGUUUUUUUAUUUUUUUCAUUUUGCAUUUCAUAGUUUUUUCUCCAUUAGGUAAAUUUUGAAGAAAAUUUUAAAAAUCUUAUUUAUUCAAAUUAGUAAUGUUGUAUUUUAUGUAGCUUGCUUAUUUAUAUAUUACGUUAUAGUUUGAUUUUUCUUUAUUCCAAAAGCUUGUUCCUGAAAAUGUUCCUAUUUAUUUUGUUUACAGCAGGUUGUUUUUUGUGUGUUCCAAUGCAAAUCAUUAAGUAAAAGAAUGUUAUUCUUUAUUAAUUUCUCUAGUUUAUUCAAGUAGAUUUAUUGUAUUUCUGUGUUCUAGCUCUUAGAUCAUUCUGUUAACUUUUUUUCCUUUUUCAGAACAAGUUGAAGAUAGAGAAAAUUAAAGCUUUUAUUUAUAAAAAAAAUUCAAUUCCAGAAAGAACCUGCACGUGCAGCUCACAGCAACCCGCAGAUCUCUGCAGAGCCGCUCAAUCCUGGGUCAUUAUAAACAGUGCCGAGAGCCGAGGCCCGCCUAAUCCGGAUUCAUGGCCCCCUGUGAAUUUUAAAAAUUUAAAAAAUUUUAAAAAUCUUUUACACAACACAAAAUCAACAACCAACUGUCCGUAAGGGACAUCCCUGGUAGGGGGUAUUGGGCCCUUGGCAACGGUAUUUGCAAAGUUCUACUGGCCUCUUUAUGCAUCUGAGUGUCCACAAUCCCCAGAUCUUGCGCCCGAUACAAUUAACUUUCCACGUGUCGCUGACGAGGAUGCUGAAGUUCUAGGGAAACCCAUCACUAUGGCAGAAGUCUCUGAGGCCAUUGCUGGUUAGCUGGAUUGAGUGUUCCCAGUUUCUGCCUGACUGAGCUCACCUGAUCCAGGUGGCCAGUUAUAAAUGCAGCGGGGUUAGCUGCAAAGCAGACUGUAAGAAGACAAUUUAAUCAUCUCCAUUUUCAGGGAUCAUCUCAGAAAGAAUCAACAGAUGUUUCAAAAGCCAAGAGAGGAAGAAAGAAAAGGAGUGACUCAGACCAAGAAAAUGAAAAAGAUGAAGCCCCUGCA